CUACGGGCCGCUCCAGUGGGGAAUAUUGCACAAUGGAGGAAACUCUGAUGCAGCAACGCCGCGUGGAGGAUGACACUUUUCGGAGCGUAAACUCCUUUUAUAUAGGAAGAAGAUGACGGUACUAUAUGAAUAAGCGCCGGCUAACUCCGUGCCAGCAGCCGCGGUAAUACGGAGGGCGCAAGCGUUACUCGGAAUCACUGGGCGUAAAGAGCGUGUAGGCGGAUUAAAAAGUCAGAAGUGAAAUCCUAUAGCUUAACUAUAGAACUGCUUCUGAAACUCUUAAUCUAGAAUAUGGGAGAGGUAGAUGGAAUUUCUGGUGUAGGGGUAAAAUCCGUAGAGAUCAGAAGGAAUACCGAUUGCGAAGGCGAUCUACUGGAACAUUACUGACGCUAAGGCGUGAAAGCGUGGGGAGCAAACAGGAUUAGAUACCCGCGUAGUC
Molecule: ribosomal RNA, 439 nt
Filed under: uncultured bacterium
Lineage: Bacteria
Description: partial 16S ribosomal RNA
Rfam family: Bacterial small subunit ribosomal RNA
Source: RNAcentral